UGGGGAAUUUUGGACAAUGGGCGAAAGCCUGAUCCAGCAAUGCCGCGUGUGUGAAGAAGGCCUUCGGGUUGUAAAGCACUUUUGUCCGGAAAGAAAUCCUUGGCUCUAAUACAGUCGGGGGAUGACGGUACCGGAAGAAUAAGCACCGGCUAACUACGUGCCAGCAGCCGCGGUAAUACGUAGGGUGCAAGCGUUAAUCGGAAUUACUGGGCGUAAAGCGUGCGCAGGCGGUUUGCUAAGACCGAUGUGAAAUCCCCGGGCUCAACCUGGGAACUGCAUUGGUGACUGGGCAGGCUAGAGUAUGGCAGAGGGGGAUAGAAUUCCACGUGUAGCAGUGAAAUGCGUAGAGAUGUGGAGGAAUACCGAUGGCGAAGGCAGCCCCCUGGGCCAAUACUGACGCUCAUGCACGAAAGCGUGGGGGAGCAAACAGGAUUAGAUACCCUGGUAGUCCACGCCCUAAACGAUGUCAACUAGUUGUUGGGGACUUCAUUUCCUUAGUAACGUAGCUAACGCGUGAAGUUGACCGCCUGGGGAGUACGGUCGCAAGAUUAAAACUCAAAUGAAUUGACGGGGU
Molecule: ribosomal RNA, 574 nt
Filed under: uncultured bacterium
Lineage: Bacteria
Description: partial 16S ribosomal RNA
Rfam family: Bacterial small subunit ribosomal RNA
Source: RNAcentral